ACUUUUAAAUGGUGUGCAAAAGCUUCCUUAAUUUCAGGUUCAAGAAUCUUGUGUCCUGUGUUCAGGACUCUACCUUCGCAGGCAGUUAACAUAAUCAGGUCUUGACAAGCAAUCUUUCGCUAUGCAUUGAAGAUGAGUGCCCGCUGCCUGUCGCUUGUUGUUUCCGGAUUUUGUCACUCCACGAAGUGCGUGGGAUAUAAAUAUAUAUAUAGGUAGGUAGUCGGUCUCAGCUUGUUUGCCAGGAGACGGCCCUUUCGGAUUUAUUAUGUUGAUGCCGAGGUGCUGAAAUGCCGAUGUGUG
Non-coding RNA from Drosophila melanogaster (fruit fly), 300 nucleotides. NCBI's taxonomy places the organism in Eukaryota, Metazoa, Arthropoda, Insecta, Diptera, Drosophilidae. The record is from Ensembl.